GGCUCAGUGGCCUAAUGGAUAAGGCAUCAGCCUCCGGAGUUGGGGAUUGUGGGUUCAAGUCCCACCUGGGUCG
Danio rerio (zebrafish) is the source of this 73-nucleotide non-coding RNA. The record is from Rfam. NCBI's taxonomy places the organism in Eukaryota, Metazoa, Chordata, Actinopteri, Cypriniformes, Danionidae.